CCACCACUGACAUCAUCAUCACUGGGGGUGUAAAAGUUAACACUCUCUCUGAGAUCUCCAAUACCCAGCGAUGUGCCACCCCUACAAAGAAGCAAGAACAGCAAGGAAUGUCUCAGGAGACUCCUCACCUCUCCCAGUAUCGGUUAUUAGUACAACCCUACUGAAUAAAGGAUAUUGUCACUGUCUUGAUUUUAGUACUAAAUAAAAAAACUUACACGCCCUUA
This is a long non-coding RNA of Pomacea canaliculata, 224 nucleotides long. RefSeq lists it as uncharacterized. NCBI's taxonomy places the organism in Eukaryota, Metazoa, Mollusca, Gastropoda, Architaenioglossa, Ampullariidae. The transcript has 2 exons. The record is from RefSeq and is a predicted model, not a curated record.